This 386-nucleotide ribosomal RNA is filed under the name uncultured bacterium. RNAcentral's name for it is "bacterial SSU rRNA". It matches the Rfam family "Bacterial small subunit ribosomal RNA", at positions 63 to 495 of the family's 1533-position model. The record is from RNAcentral.
CGAACGAACCUUCGGGUUAGUGGCGGACGGGUGAGUAACGCGUGAGAAUCUGCCCUCAGGAGGGGGAUAACAGCUGGAAACGGCUGCUAAUACCCCAUAUGCCGCGAGGUGAAAUGAAUUUCGCCUGAGGAUGAGCUCGCGUCUGAUUAGCUAGUUGGUGUAGGUAAUGGCUCACCAAGGCAUCGAUCAGUAGCUGGUCUGAGAGGAUGAUCAGCCACACUGGGACUGAGACACGGCCCAGACUCCUACGGGAGGCAGCAGUGGGGAAUUUUCCGCAAUGGGCGAAAGCCUGACGGAGCAACGCCGCGUGAGGGAUGAAGGCCUCUGGGCUGUAAACCUCUUUUAUCAAGGAAGAAGAUCUGACGGUACUUGAUGAAUAAGCCACG